RNAcentral lists this ribosomal RNA (492 nucleotides) under uncultured bacterium. RNAcentral's name for it is "bacterial SSU rRNA". It matches the Rfam family "Bacterial small subunit ribosomal RNA", at positions 28 to 507 of the family's 1533-position model. The record is from RNAcentral.
GAUGAACGCUAGCGGCAGGCUUAACACAUGCAAGUCGAGGGGCAGCAUGAGACGGAGAUUCGUCGAAGUCUUGAUGGCGACCGGCGCAAGGGUGCGUAACGCGUGAGCAACUUGCCCGUUUCAGGGGGAUAACCGGUGGAAACGCCGACUAAUACCCCAUAGUAUUGAUUUAAGGCAUCUUUUAUCAAUUAAAGAAAUUCGGAAACGGAUAGGCUCGCGUGACAUUAGCUAGAUGGUGAGGUAAUGGCUCACCAUGGCGACGAUGUCUAGGGGUUCUGAGAGGAAGGUCCCCCCACACUGGAACUGAGACACGGUCCAGACUCCUACGGGAGGCAGCAGUGAGGAAUAUGGUCAAUGGUCUGACGACUGAACCAGCCAUGCCGCGUGAAGGUCACGGCCCUAUGGGUCUUAAACUUCUCUUGUAAGGGAGCAAUAAGCCUCACGUGUGGGGUGAUGAGAGUACCUUACGAAUAAGCAUCGGCUAACUCCGUG